Molecule: ribosomal RNA, 460 nt
Filed under: uncultured bacterium
Lineage: Bacteria
Description: partial 16S ribosomal RNA
Rfam family: Bacterial small subunit ribosomal RNA
Source: RNAcentral
CCUACGGGAUGCAGCAGUGAGGAAUAUUGGUCAAUGGGCGCGAGCCUGAACCAGCCAAGUAGCGUGAAGGAUGACUGCCCUACGGGUUGUAAACUUCUUUUAUAAAGGAAUAAAGUGAGGCACGUGUGCCUUUUUGUAUGUACUUUAUGAAUAAGGAUCGGCUAACUCCGUGCCAGCAGCCGCGGUAAUACGGAGGAUCCGAGCUUUAUCCGGAUUUAUUGGGUUUAAAGGGAGCGUAGAUGGGUUGUUAAGUCAGUUGUGAAAGUUUGCGGCUCAACCGUAAAAUUGCAAUUGAUACUGGCAGCCUUGAGUACAGUUGAGGUAGGCGGAAUUCGUGGUGUAGCGGUGAAAUGCUUAGAUAUCACGAAGAACUCCGAUUGCGAAGGCAGCUUACUAAACUGCCACUGACAUUGAUGCUCGAAAGCGCGGGUAUCGAACAGGAUUAGAUACCCUGGUAGUC